GAGACAUCAGAGGCUUUUUGUUCCCCUUAGCUGGGAGGUUUUUAGUUGUAAUUAACAAGCUGACUGAUCAGAGAUGUGAUGCAAAUGGCGACUUGAGCAACAGAAGCCCCUUUUGUUUUGUUGGCCAUAGAUCCAUGGCCAAAUCUGCAUGCAGAGGUUUUCCCGGAGCAGUGUAUGGGCGUGCGUGCCUGCAUUUGUGUGUGUGCAGGCUGGCCACAAUGAUCU
Perca flavescens (yellow perch) is the source of this 225-nucleotide long non-coding RNA. RefSeq lists it as uncharacterized. The record is from RefSeq and is a predicted model, not a curated record. NCBI's taxonomy places the organism in Eukaryota, Metazoa, Chordata, Actinopteri, Perciformes, Percidae. The transcript has 3 exons.